This 501-nucleotide ribosomal RNA is filed under the name uncultured bacterium. Its description in RNAcentral is "partial 16S ribosomal RNA". It matches the Rfam family "Bacterial small subunit ribosomal RNA", at positions 30 to 523 of the family's 1533-position model. The record is from RNAcentral.
AUUGAACGCUGGCGGCAGGCUUAACACAUGCAAGUCGAGCGGGGGAAGGUAGCUUGCUACCGGACCCAGCGGCGGACGGGUGAGUAAUGCUUAGGAAUCUGCCUAUUAGUGGGGGACAACAUCUCGAAAGGGAUGCUAAUACCGCAUACGUCCUACGGGAGAAAGCAGGGGAUCUUCGGACCUUGCGCUAAUAGAUGAGCCUAAGUCGGAUUAGCUAGUUGGUGGGGUAAAGGCCUACCAAGGCGACGAUCUGUAGCGGGUCCGAGAGGAUGAUCCGCCACACUGGGACUGAGACACGGCCCAGACUUCUACGGGAGGCAGCAGUGGGGAAUAUUGGACAAUGGGGGGAACCCUGAUCCAGCCAUGCCGCGUGUGUGAAGAAGGCCUUAUGGUUGUAAAGCACUUUAAGCGAGGAGGAGGCUCUUUUGGUUAAUACCCAAGAUGAGUGGACGUUACUCGCAGAAUAAGCACCGGCUAACUCUGUGCCAGCAGCCGCCGUAA